Molecule: ribosomal RNA, 253 nt
Filed under: uncultured bacterium
Lineage: Bacteria
Description: partial 16S ribosomal RNA
Rfam family: Bacterial small subunit ribosomal RNA
Source: RNAcentral
UACGAAGGGGGCUAGCGUUGCUCGGAAUCACUGGGCGUAAAGCGCACGUAGGCGGAUCUUUAAGUCAGGGGUGAAAUCCCAGGGCUCAACCUUGGAACUGCCUUUGAUACUGGGGAUCUCGAGUCCGGAAGAGGUUGGUGGAACUGCGAGUGUAGAGGUGAAAUUCGUAGAUAUUCGCAAGAACACCAGUGGCGAAGGCGGCCAACUGGUCCGGUACUGACGCUGAGGUGCGAAAGCGUGGGGAGCAAACAGG